UAAGAGGUAUAUCACCCAAACCAAAAAAUCGAAUAGAAACUGAUAUAAAAAAAUCUCAUAAUUCUCUCUCGCCGGAGCUCCGGCUACCACCAUAACCGUACAACCUCCCUCUCUCCACCACUUCCACUUACUAACCGUCAAAAUUUCAUCAUCAUCAUCAACAUCAUCUUAUUCACACACCUGCAAUUUCCGAUCUAUUAUCAAAACCCUAACGAAACUCACGGCGGCUGAACUUCCUCCGACAGAAACUGAAGCUAGGGAUGCGAAAGUGAAGAAGACAAAGAAAGCUUCUGCUGCACAAAACACUAAAAACCUGUUGUUCAUCCUCCGUACUCCGAGGUAUGAUUAGCUUGGAACACAAAAGCAUGGCUUAGUAAGCCAAAGUGUGGGUCAUUAAAUUGCAACAACGCCAAUAUCAAUGGAAGGUCAUCUCGACACACCGGUGGAUCUAUGAAAACUGGAUUUAUGUAGAGAAGGACAUAUGGUCGGGAACCUACAUUUAAAGAACUCUUCCUACAAACCCACCUCACCAAAGAAUGUAAAUAAAAGUUAAGGAUAGGUGAGAUUAGCAUAUAUGACAUGAAUGAUUUGAAGUUUUGGACAAACCAAUCCGAAGAAGUAUAUGGGGGGCCUGCUUGGAGGCGUUGCAUGAUAUUCACGGGUCGGACCUCACUGAUAGUCCUGAUGACCCUGAGGUGUGGACUCGUGUGCAGGCAGGAGGUCAUAGGACACCCGGGUAUUUGGGGUAGGAUCUUCAGAUCUGCAUUACAUGGUGAGUUGGACAUCAUCAUCUUCUAAUGGGUGUGCACCAUCAUCUGUUGAGUACCAACGAUCCAUAGAAGAGGUAUCAUGUUCAAUUUCAAGAUAUUUGUUAUGUUGAUCUAAUUGCUCUGGUGACAAGUAUAGGUUUAGCUUGAUAUUGAUGAAGCCACAAUUAAGUUAGGAAUUUAGAAUGUAUAAUGGGACCUGGUGUUUAGUUUGAACUUCCACAGGUUGGUAUGGUUAUGGUCUGGUUGAGUGGCUUAGUGGCUUGGGGUUAGGGCAUGGUUUGUCUGGUUGGGCUUGUUUGGUUAGUGGAUUUGGUACCAUGUUUAGAUGGUGGCUAUUUGGGUUGGUUAGCAGGUUUAGAUUUUUGUUAUUCAUCUCUUAUAUCAAAAAUUGUGCUAAAAUAAGAUGGUUUUAGUAAUUAACUAAAAGUAAAUUCAAAGUACAAUAUAUACCGAUGUUUACUGAUAUUAGUAUGCUUAGUAAACUUGUGAAAUUGGUCAGAUAUUCGGUCAUUGAUGUAUUGUUUAUUAUUUAAUACCUUUGAACAAAUUUUUAGGCUCAAGCAAUGCGAGUAAAUGACGCAAGACAAAGAGAAAAACGUUAAACUAAAAAUUCGGUUUUAGUCAAAAGCAACGUUUUAACAAAAAUAAGUAGUAUGAGAUGGUUUAGGUAAUCAUAAACUCACAUAAGGCCGAAGGUGGCAAUUAGAUAUACCCGAGUGACGAGGUAUGAAGUGACGGUGACUAAUCAGUCUAGCCGGUAAAACCGUUCAAAGUCAAAAUAAUGUUAUGACUUAUACAAAGUGCUCGUCAAUAUAAGAUUAGUGUGGAGUAAACAUGUUGAUGGACUAAUACUACCGAGUGGUCAAAUGACAACUUGGUCAAAUAGGCAAUAAAGAUAAGAAAUAUAAGAUGAAAGUUACGGUCCGUGAGGACUUACACAUGAAAGAUGCACACGUUAAUACAAAGGAUAACUUUUGACUGAAAAGAAUGAAUGCCUUGAAAAUGAAACUAAGUUCGUUUGGUCUUAACCAAUGAACCAUAUAAAGAAGGUUUCGGGGACGAAAUCUCUUUAAGGGGGUAGACUUGUAACACCCCAAAAACGGGUUUGAUAAUCAAACCACGUUAAUAUUAGUGAACGGGUAAAAUACCAUUAGUGGUAAAAAUUAACCCGGUAAAUAUUAGGAUUUAAAUAAAUAAACCUAAUAUUAAAUAAAAAGAGAAUAAAAGCUUUUGAGGAAAUAAGGUUCAUAAGAGCCUGAGUUAGCGGGACUUAAAAAAAUGGGUCAUAACCUCCCCGAACCCACUAAAUUAACUAGGAAUGUUUAACCUAGUUAAUUAGAGGAAAUAUUGCUAAAAUAAGUAAGUUGAAACCUACUUGAUAACUAGCCAAAAUAUGAGGGACUAAAGAGGGAGAUCGACCAGGAGCAAGAAAACAAGGGUGUAAACCCUAGUUCAACAAAUCUUCAAAUUGAAGGAGGAAUCGAAGACCAAAUUCUGAUUUGAAUGUAUAUAAAUGAUCACCUAGUCAUGGGGAUCAUAAGGUAUGUCAUAAAACAUAGAUUGGUUAAAUUUGAAAUUUGAGACAAGUAUGUUACUUGCAAAUAGAUUGUUGGAUUAUGAUCCAAAGUUGAAAUUGAAUGUUUAUGUAUGUUUAAUUUCGUUAGUUAUGAUGAAAAUAUGAAGAACUUGAUGUAAUGGUACUUGUAAGUGAUUAACAAGUAAACUAGGAAGUGGGUUUUGACUAAAUAGUGAAGAUGAUGAUAUACAUGUGCUUAAAAUCAUCAUAAUUGAUAGUUGAAGCAAGAUACUUGAACAAUUCAUAGGCUCGAGUGAAUGCUCAUACAUGACUUGAAGUGGGUUUUGUAUGCUAUGAUGAAAUUUGGUAAUUAUGUUCAUGUAAAUAGGUGUAUGAAGUCAUGUUAUCUACUAGUUGGUAUGUAGAACUUGAUUAUAUUAGGUGUUCGGAUGAAUGCUAGUGAUAUGAUGUAACGGGUUUCACUUAUAGAUGAGAACCCUUAGUUUUUGCGAAAUGGAUGAAUAAGUUAGCUUUGAUAAUCACUUGAACUAGUUGAGGUGUUGGAAAUAUAAUGAACUUGGUUAAAAGAUUAGUUAAAAAUGGUGGCUUAAAAUAACGCCUACUGGGUAAUUGGGGAACGCCUAAAUUAGUUGAUGAACUUGAUUGUGCAUUUCAUAUACUAACGGGCAUUUAACUUUUAAAAAGUCAAACUGACCUAUAAUACGAUGAAUGAUAAUUUUGAUAUAAAGUGCGUAAGGUGGAAUAAUCGUAUUAACUUAUGAUUAAUCUAACCGCCUUGUGAAUGAUGAAUGAUAGUUUGACGCUUAACAAGCUAGGUGGAAGCUUAGGGAGGAAACGGGUCAAACGAAUCAAGUAUGAAAAGAGAAGCGUAGUUUGGAUGCGAGGUUUCAAAACAGAACUAGCUGGAAAAGAGUACUCCUCGCGCCAUGCGACAAAGGAGAAAAUCCUGGCACGACACGCGACAGGUGUCGGGCACGCAAAAAUGAUAUCAAUUCCCGUCGCGUCACACGACGGGUGUUAAAAUCAGCAAAAGUUGUCGAUGUUUGUGAAUUGCUUGUUUUGACGCAUGAACUUGUUCGGGCAUGUUUUUAAACGCCAAAUGACUAAAUCAUUUCAUGUUUUAUGAAAUGUAGGAAUAUUGUACGGUACCGGAGGACAAUCAAGCUCGAUAAAGAACCAAACACGAUUAAGAAUUCAAGCUUCCGCAUUAGAUUUCGUCGGCAUGUUUUAAAUGGCGAAAUUAUAUACAAGAUGUUGGAAUGUUUUAUGUCUUAAAAUUUUUUAACAAACUCGUAUUUUCACCUGGAGGUUUAAUCGUA
Molecule: long non-coding RNA, 3626 nt
Filed under: Helianthus annuus (common sunflower)
Lineage: Eukaryota; Viridiplantae; Streptophyta; Magnoliopsida; Asterales; Asteraceae
Source: RNAcentral